UAUUGGUCAAUGGGCGAGAGCCUGAACCAGCCAAGUCGCGUGAAGGAUGAAGGAUCUAUGGUUUGUAAACUUCUUUUAUAUGGGAAUAAAGUGAGGAACGUGUUCCUUUUUGUAUGUACCAUAUGAAUAAUCAUCGGCUAACUCCGUGCCAGCAGCCGCGGUAAUUCGGAGGAUGCUAGCGUUAUCCGGAGUUAUUGGGUUUAAAGGGUGCGUAGGUGGUUAAUUAAGUCGGCGGUGAAAGUUUGUGGCUCAACCAUAAAAUUGCCGUUGAAACUGGUUGACUUGAGUAUAUUUGAGGUAGGCGGAAUGCGUGGUGUAGCGGUGAAAUGCAUAGAUAUCACGCAGAACUCCGAUUGCGAAGGCAGCUUACUAAACUAUAACUGACACUGAAGCACGAAAGCGUGGGGAGCAAACGGG
This 417-nucleotide ribosomal RNA is filed under the name uncultured bacterium. RNAcentral's name for it is "bacterial SSU rRNA". It matches the Rfam family "Bacterial small subunit ribosomal RNA", at positions 362 to 776 of the family's 1533-position model. The record is from RNAcentral.